This 68-nucleotide small RNA is filed under the name Mycobacterium bohemicum. Its description in RNAcentral is "ASdes TB sRNA". It matches the Rfam family "ASdes TB sRNA". The record is from Rfam by way of RNAcentral. Lineage: Bacteria; Bacillati; Actinomycetota; Actinomycetes; Mycobacteriales; Mycobacteriaceae.
AGCUCGACGGGAUCGACGGCGCGGGUGACCACCAGAUAGUCCCGCAAGGCCGUGCUGUGCCGGGCCUC